Molecule: ribosomal RNA, 253 nt
Filed under: uncultured bacterium
Lineage: Bacteria
Description: partial 16S ribosomal RNA
Rfam family: Bacterial small subunit ribosomal RNA
Source: RNAcentral
UACGGAGGUGGCAAGCGUUGCUCGGAAUCACUGGGCGUAAAGGGCGCGUAGGCGGGGAGGUAAGUCGGGUGUGAAAUCCCUCGGCCCAACUGAGGAACUGCGCCCGAGACUGCUUCUCUUGAGUCCCGGAGAGGAAGAUGGAAUUCCCGGUGUAGCGGUGAAAUGCGUAGAUAUCGUGAGGAAGACCAGUUGCGAAGGCGGAUCUCUGGGCAGUUCCUGACACUGAGGCACGAAGGCCAGGGGAGCAAACGGG